RNAcentral lists this ribosomal RNA (252 nucleotides) under uncultured bacterium. Its description in RNAcentral is "partial 16S ribosomal RNA". It matches the Rfam family "Bacterial small subunit ribosomal RNA", at positions 524 to 776 of the family's 1533-position model. The record is from RNAcentral.
UACGUAGGGUGCGAGCGUUAAUCGGAAUUACUGGGCGUAAAGCGUGCGCAGGCGGUUCGUUAAGUCAGAUGUGAAAGCCCCGGGCUCAACCUGGGAACUGCAUUUGAGACUGCUCUGCUCGGGUGCGGAAGAGGGAAGCGGAAUUUCCGGUGUAGCGGUGAAAUGCGUAGAUAUCGGAAGGAACACCAGUGGCGAAAGCGGCUUCCUGGUCCGACACCGACGUUCGGCACGAAAGCGUGGGGAGCAAACAGG